Ostrea edulis (European flat oyster) is the source of this 1529-nucleotide long non-coding RNA. RefSeq lists it as uncharacterized. Lineage: Eukaryota; Metazoa; Mollusca; Bivalvia; Ostreida; Ostreidae. The record is from RefSeq and is a predicted model, not a curated record. The transcript has 2 exons.
UGUGAGAUUGACAAAAUAAGUAUGUAAAAGUGUUUCAACAUAUAAAUUAUAAAAUAUAUAUACUGGCACUUUCAUGAAUUGAAAUCAAAUACAGACACUGCAUCAUGGAUAUGGAUAAUAUUAGUUAGGUAACGUCAAAUUCAGAAUAUAAUGUCACAUAAAUGUGAUGUAAACAGCUGUCAAUUCUUUAGACUGUGCAAUUUCAGCUUAAUUGGCUCUUUUUGAUUAUUGCAAUUCUUAGAAUUUAAAUUCCUUUUCUUGCAUGUAAUCUAUAAAAUAAUAAAAUAUAUAUCUACUUUGAUUGUUUUAUUUCACUGACAUGUAAAUAAAGGGUACAUUAUUAAUUAUUUUGUAAAUAAAAGGGGGAGGGUGGUACAUGUCACAUGCACCUGACUAUCACAUACUCAGGUAACACAGUACCAGAAUAUAUAUUGAUAACCAAUAUUUUUUUAAACAUAAAAUUCAAACUUAGAAAUUAUUUCGAUAUAAACAUAUAAACAUAUAGCAUAACGAGAUGUGGGGAAUUUUCUUUUCUUUUCUUCUUCUUUUUUAACAAUUUGAAAAUAGAUGAGCAUUGACUAUUGGGGCGGGUGGAAGAUUUUUUUUACUACAAUAAUUCAUAUGAAACAUGCUUUUAUGAAAGUUUUGUCAUUCCCGGCAGUGUUGUUUUUUUUUUUUUUUUUUUUUUUUUUUUAAUUUAAUAUUAACAAUUAAUGCCUACAAUGGGGAUUUACUAUAGAAGUCUUCUGAAUGAUUUUUUUUUGUAAUUCGCAUCCAAGAUAUUAUGCUUCUCAAAUAACAAUUGGUCAUACUUAAAACAUGCCCCCCCCCCUUCUCUCUCUACACAUAAUGAUAUCAAUAUUAACAUAUAUAACUUGAUUGUUGUAUUCAUGUGAUUUAUUAUGUGUACAACAACCAAUUUUUUUAAAUAAGCAAACCAAUCAGAUUUUACCAUACUGAUUUAUAGAGCUCACAAGAAAACAAGAUCUGUGGUGGAAAGGGGUAUGGACAACUGAAGAGGCGAUUUCAUGUACUACAUGGUGAAAUCCGCUUGUCACCUGAGAAGGCAUGUCAGGUUAUUUUGUCCUGUGCCAUUUUGCAUAACAUUUGCAAAGAUCGAUGCAUUCCAUGCCCACAAGAUCAUGAAGAUGAUGGUGAAGAUCAACAAGUUAAUGUACAUGUACCACACAUAUUUAACAACAAUGGCAAUGAUGGUCUGAGAUACCGACAACAGUUUGCAGAGACUCACUUUUGAGUUGCAUUGGGAGUUGUAGGCCUGCAAACUUGUAGUCAUGGAUGUUAAUGGUAGUGAAGGCUCUUGUACAGAUGCGGCGACUAGAGGGCUAGAGUUGAGAAUGAGGGGAUCCAUACCAGGAGGUCCCUCAAAGACAUUGAUUCCCCUGUGAUGAAAAGAGAUUAAUUAAAUGCUUACUUAGUAUUCUCCUUUCUAUAUCUUCUGCAGCUCUUUUGAAUUAUUAAAUUAUAUGAUUGCAUUGAAUGUUUAUUACAAUGAAUGUUAUUCUUUUUUA